AAGUAUCAGUGUUAUUCGGAGUGGCAGAGAGUUCACAGCUCGGGAGCAAAAUAAAUUCUAAAUUUUGUAGUUUUUUUUUUCGGCAAUAUUUUUUGACUAGAUAUUAAGAAUAAAGUGAUAUUUUUUUUAAACUAAUUUAAGCAAAAAGUGAAAAACACAACCAACAAACAAAAGACAGUGAAACAAAACAAACAAAGCAAAAAUGUUCGUUUCGUAAGAAAAAGAAUAAUACAACAGCCAAUCAACACCUACUCCAUUACUACUUUAAACAAUAAUCAACAAAAAAAAACUGCGAAAAAGACGCUAUUAGGGUCUCACUUUAGCUGGCAGGCGCUCUUCCUCGGGGUCCUACGGAUGCUGUAUCAUAGACGAAUAAUACAACAACCAAUCAACACCUACGCUCUUACAGCAUUAAACAACAAUCAAAGAAAAAACUGCGAAAAAGGUUUGUUUGGUACGAAACUAUUUAUUAGUCCAGUUACCGAUCCAAUAGACGGUAUUGGGGUCUCACUUUAGCUGGCAGGCGCUCUUCCUCGGGGUCCUACGGAUGCUGGAUCAUAGACGAAGAAUACAACAACCAAUCAACACCUACGCUCUUACAGCAUUAAACAACAAUCAAAGAAAAAACUGCGAAAAAGACUCUAUAGGGUUGCGCCCAUCAGCUGGCAGGAGGGCGUCCUCGGAGUCCAACGGAUAUACAUAUACGCGAUCAAGCACGAGCACGAG
Drosophila miranda is the source of this 726-nucleotide RNA transcript. RefSeq lists it as uncharacterized. The transcript is spliced from 4 exons. The record is from RefSeq and is a predicted model, not a curated record. Lineage: Eukaryota; Metazoa; Arthropoda; Insecta; Diptera; Drosophilidae.